RNAcentral lists this unclassified non-coding RNA (252 nucleotides) under Dermatocarpon luridum var. xerophilum. RNAcentral describes it as "partial contains 5.8S ribosomal RNA, internal transcribed spacer 2, and large subunit ribosomal RNA". The record is from RNAcentral. Lineage: Eukaryota; Fungi; Ascomycota; Eurotiomycetes; Verrucariales; Verrucariaceae.
CGCACAUUGCGCCCUCCGGCAACCCGGAGGGCAUGCCUGUCCGAGCGUCAUUGCCUCUCCUCAAGCGUCGCUUGGUUUUGAGCCCUCGCCUCCCUCCCUCGGCGUGCUCCAAAGGUAUCGGCGGCUCGGCGUGACUCUGCGGGCGUAGUAAAUGCGUUUCCCGCCCCGGCAGAUUCACGCCGCGCCCGGCCAUCCCUUGAACAUACAACAACGAUUGACCUCGGAUCAGGCAGGGGUACCCGCUGAACUUAA